AGCUCCAAUAGCGUAUAUUAAAGUUGUUGCAGUUAAAAAGCUCGUAGUCGGAUUUCGGGUCGGGCCGAGCGGUCUGCCGAUGGGUAUGCACUGUUCGGCGCGGCCUUCUUUCCGGAGACCGCGGCUACUCUUAACUGAGCGGGCGUGGGAGACGGAUCGUUUACUUUGAAAAAAUCAGAGUGUUUCAAGCAGGCAGCUCGCUCUUGCAUGGAUUAGCAUGGGAUAAUGAAAUAGGACUCUGGUGCUAUUUUGUUGGUUUCGAACACCGGAGUAAUGAUUAACAGGGACAGUCAGGGGCACUCGUAUUCCGUCGAGAGAGGUGAAAUUCUCAGACCAAUGGAAGACGAACCACUGCGAAAGCAUUUGCCAGGGAUGUUUUCACUG
Molecule: ribosomal RNA, 384 nt
Filed under: Phaeocystis sp.
Lineage: Eukaryota; Haptophyta; Phaeocystales; Phaeocystaceae
Also listed under: 1 other name
Description: partial small subunit ribosomal RNA
Rfam family: Eukaryotic small subunit ribosomal RNA
Source: RNAcentral